CCUACGGGUGGCAGCAGUGGGGAAUAUUGCACAAUGGGCGUAACCCUGAUGCAGCGACGCCGCGUGAGUGAAGAAGUAUCUCGGUACGUAAAGCUCUAUCAGCAGGGGAGAAAAUGACGGUACCUGACUAAGAAUCCCCGGCUAACUUCGUGACAGCAGCGGCGGUAAUACGUAGGGGGCAAGCGUUAUCCGGAUUUACUGGGUGUAAAGGGAGCGUAGACGGUGCGACAAGUCUGGAGUGAAAUGCCGCAGCUUAACUGCGGAACUGCUUUGGAAACUGGCGAACUAGAGUUCGGGAGGGGUAAGCGGAAUUCCUGGUGUAGCGGUGAAAUGCGUAGAUAUUAGGAGGAACACCGGUGGCGAAGGCGGCUUACUGGACCGUAACUGACGUUGAGGCUCGAAAGCGUGGGGAGCAAACAGGAUUAGAUACCCUUGUAGUC
RNAcentral lists this ribosomal RNA (440 nucleotides) under uncultured bacterium. Its description in RNAcentral is "partial 16S ribosomal RNA". It matches the Rfam family "Bacterial small subunit ribosomal RNA", at positions 338 to 795 of the family's 1533-position model. The record is from RNAcentral.